This is a long non-coding RNA of Oncorhynchus tshawytscha (Chinook salmon), 2099 nucleotides long. RefSeq lists it as uncharacterized. NCBI's taxonomy places the organism in Eukaryota, Metazoa, Chordata, Actinopteri, Salmoniformes, Salmonidae. The transcript is spliced from 2 exons. The record is from RefSeq and is a predicted model, not a curated record.
UCUACCUGUUAGUAAUGGAAUGUCAUAUAAUAUGAUAAUCUUACCAUCAGACUUUGAUUACUAUAUUUGUUUUGACAUAAUGCCCAGAACUGUGUGCGUCAUGACGCAAUCAGAUGCGUGUUUGGGAAAUCCCGAAUUGUAAUAACGCAUUUAUCAUUGACGGUCUAGCCUACUACACCUUUAAGACGUCGACAUUGUGCGAAUUGGGAGUGGGUAUAUGUUCGACAGUAAAAUCCCAACACUUCGCAAUGGGAAAACUGUGAAGAGGACCCUCUGCGCUGACCACUAAUUAUAGAAAAGGUUUGAAAUAAUGUGCACCAAAAGGCUAUAUUGCCAUAAUAACUAUGUCUGAAAAGUGAUACGGAAACCAUUACAUGCAUGUGGGAUGAGGUUUGCGCAAUGGACGCACAAGGGUCUUGGUCUGCAUACGUCAACAUAUUUUGUGACAGUUUCCAGGGCUGACAUGUUUACGUUUUGAUUUGCCUCUAGAAUGUUGUAUUUUAAUCGUCUCUGACAUUUGACAGAAAUGUAUUCCCGAUCAGCAGGGAAAUUGUGCUGCUAAAGUGUGAAAUAUGUUUACAGUUGAUUUUCUUGAGUUUUGUUAUCUACCACAUUCUCCAUUUUAACUCCGUCUUUAGCCAGCGACAACGAUAUUUAUCUCAUCGAAACAAAAAUAUCUGCCGGUAUCCUGCAUGUUGUACUGUUGUGGAAGCAAGGACAGGGAGAAGCAGCGCCCGGACGCUGCAGAGGUGUCGAGAAUUCUAGAGACAGAGAAAAACCGAAAGAGCCAAGAAAGCGCACCUCAACCACUGGACAUGUACGGAAUAGCGGCAAUGCCCGAGCUUCUACCACCCUCUGGCGUACUUCAGCCCAGCUCAGUAAUCCCACUCGAGUCGGGUGAGGUACCUGGUUUGUGGAAUGGAUUCAACAGGGGUGUGCUGAGUUUUGACUCCCCCCAGCGGAGACGAGGCCAACGGGCCCCGAAGUUAGGGCAAAUAGGACGGUCGAAGAGAGUGGUUAUAGAGGAUGACGACUUGGAUGAUGUCAUGAAACACAAUGGCCUCCCCAUAUCAAUCAAUAUCUCUCCUGUUGCCUGAACAACUCUGAUAGUGUCCAGACCUCAAGAGGCUAUUGUGCUCAUUUGUGAAAUUCUGAAGUGUGUACCACUUGUUUCUGGACAAUGUCCAAUUCAGGUGCCCAUUGCAAAGUUUACAAUAGUAGCAUGCGCAUCACAUGUAGUUUAGCUCUUCCUGGACACAGGAAGGUCAGUGUCCCAAGGAAAUAGAAGUACAAAACAGUGCAUCUUUGCUUCAGCUGCUGUUCUGGUGUUGAAGGGGGGGACUUUGUGUCCUGAGGAGAGGGGAGCAAUUAGGAUAGAUUUGGGUCCGGACAGGCUGAAACAUAAGCACACAAGAGAAGGCCCUACCCAUCAAGACCUGUCCCUUCAAAAUGAGUGGACCUGUUUGUUUGUUGUUCAGUCUUCAGUGUCUAUAUUUUAAACACUCCAUCCAAGAUGUUAUUUUAAUUUGUGUCAAUCCAACCUAUAUCUAAUUGAGAAAACUGCUACUCAUAGUGCUGGGCAGUGUUUUCACAAUAUUAUUUAUUUUACAUAAUGUACGCUUUUUCAGUGUUUCACAUAUGUUGACAACACUUAUUUUAGUUUUUGACAGUUGACAACACUGUCUCGUUUUGGUGCAAACUAAUUGUAAAAUCUGUUGUAAAACGUGUUAGAUAAACUGAAGGCUUUAAUUUGCCAUUGUAACAUGUCACAAUCAUUGUCUUAGUAUACCAUAUGUUGUACUGUAUGUUACUUUUACCCCUGAGUUGCUAGACAAAAAGAGUUCCCACUGUGAACUAUUCAUGGAACUUUAUGUAUCCCUGCAUCAAGGUGUAAUAUACACAUUUUUUACAACCAGCUUCCUGUUAUAUUCUUCACCAUAAUGCCACAUCUGUUAGAAAAGUCAUGUGGCAUUCAGAUAAGUAGCCUAACUGAUGUUAAACCCAGCUAUGAAGAAGGUCGCUACAUGGAGGAGCAACUCAAGGAAAUUGGUGUAAGACUUACCGAGCUGUGAGGAAUACAUUGUUUUGAUGUAACCAUU